GAAUUGAGUCUGACCGUCUUUGAUAUUAGGAAGGAGAGGUGUACAGCUAGGCAGCGAGCAUGCUAAAAUCUUUUCCAGGAAACGGUGUUUGAAGAGUUAAUGGGAGAAAAAAAGACGAAAAUUAGCCAGAGGAGACGAAUUUGGUAGAGGGGGAAGCCCUAGGGACAGGAGAAAAUAGGACCAGAAAGGGAAAAAAAAUAGAAACAAUAACAAACUAAACUCGGGCCCCAGAAAAGGCGGCAGGGGUCCUGGGCAUUCGCGUCGCAGCCCUGGCAUGUCGUCUUGCCCGGCCC
RNAcentral lists this long non-coding RNA (293 nucleotides) under Homo sapiens (human). Its description in RNAcentral is "HSALNT0375536". Lineage: Eukaryota; Metazoa; Chordata; Mammalia; Primates; Hominidae. The record is from RNAcentral.